Molecule: transfer RNA, 73 nt
Filed under: Terrestrivirus sp.
Lineage: Varidnaviria; Bamfordvirae; Nucleocytoviricota; Megaviricetes; Imitervirales; Mimiviridae
Description: tRNA-Gln
Source: RNAcentral
UACUUUCGGUGAGGAUCGAACUCACAUCUCCAAUUUCAAAGACUGGUGCUCUUAUCCAUUGAGCUACGAAAGC